UACGAUCAAUUCUCCAGUUCGAGGACCCUUCAGCCAUCAUCGAACUCGGGAAAAUGGAGCAAAAUCAGAGUGCAAGUACGAAGGGGGAUAUAAGUUUAUGUCAACCAGUUUUUUACACUUGAAAUGCUACAGUAUGACAAGACUUGAACUACUGGGAACUGUUAGAAGAUUAGCUUACAAACAACAUCCAUCACCAGCUUAGGCUAUUUCCAGGUUCAGCAUUUAUACAGAACAGAAAACCCCGGCCGGUUCUUUGUCUAACCCUCCCUUCUUUGUCUAAAGUGUUCGAAGUGGUAAAGUAGGAAAAUAUUAGGUUCUUUGUCUAACCCUCCUUUCGUUGGUAUCACCGCCAUCCGAGAGUUGAGCCCAUACGCUCCGCGACUUCCCACCUCCGCUGCUACAAUCCUCCUCGCACCCAGCCACCGUCUUCAGCAGCUCCGACUGCAGAGUCGGGCAAUUCUCCUUUAGGUAUUCAAAUCC
This 480-nucleotide long non-coding RNA is filed under the name Linum usitatissimum (flax). RNAcentral's name for it is "long non-coding RNA (LUSI_LNC007178)". Lineage: Eukaryota; Viridiplantae; Streptophyta; Magnoliopsida; Malpighiales; Linaceae. The record is from RNAcentral.